GGUCAAGUAAUGAAGUGCACAUGGUGGAUGCCUUGGCAGUCAGAGGCGAUGAAAGACGUGAUAGCCUGCGAUAAGCGUCGGUGAGGUGGCAAUAUCCUGUGACCCGGCGAUUUCUGAAUGGGGAAACCCAACCAACACAAGUUGGUUAUUACACAGUUUACUGUGUAAGGCAAACCGGGAGAAGUGAAACAUCUCAGUACCCCGAGGAAAAGACAUCAAAUGAGAUUCCGUAAGUAGCGGCGAGCGAACACGGAGGAGCCGAUCAAUUUUACAGUAGCAAAAUGGCGUGGAAAAGCCAACCAUAGUAGGUGAUAGUCCUGUAUGCGAAACUGUUUAAGCGACAUAUUAAGUAGGGCGGAACACGAGAAAUUCUGUCUGAAGAUGGGGGACCAUCCUCCAAGGCUAAAUACUCCUGACUGACCGAUAGUGAACCAGUACCGUGAGGGAAAGGCGAAAAGAACCCCUGUUAGGGGAGUGAAAUAGAACCUGAAACCGUGUGCAUACAAGCAGUCGGAGCGGACUUGUUCCGUGACGGCGUACCUUUUGUAUAAUGGGUCAGCGACUUAUAUUCUGUAGCAAGGUUAACCGAAUAGGGGAGCCGUAGGGAAACCGAGUCUUAAUAGGGCGAAUGAGUUGCAGGGUAUAGACCCGAAACCGAGUGAUCUAUCCAUGAGCAGGUUGAAAGUGCCGUAACAGGCACCGGAGGACCGAACCCACUGUCGUUGAAAAGCCAGGGGAUGACUUGUGGAUAGGGGUGAAAGGCUAAUCAAACUCGGUGAUAGCUGGUUCUCCCCGAAAGCUAUUUAGGUAGCGCCUCGGACGAACACCAUUGGGGGUAGAGCACUGUUUCGGCUAGGGGGUCAUCCCGACUUACCAAACCGAUGCAAACUCCGAAUACCGAUGAGUGAUAUCCGGGAGACAGACGGCGGGUGCUAACGUCCGUCGUCAAGAGGGAAACAACCCAGACCGCCAGCUAAGGCCCCAAAUUCCUAGUUAAGUGGGAAACGAUGUGGGAAGGCACAGACAGCUAGGAGGUUGGCUUAGAAGCAGCCACCCUUUAAAGAAAGCGUAAUAGCUCACUAGUCGAGUCGGCCUGCGCGGAAGAUGUAACGGGGCUCAAACUAGGAGCCGAAGCUGCGGAUUUAAUUGUUUCAAUUAAGUGGUAGGGGAGCGUUGUGUAAGCCUGUGAAGGUGCACUGUAAGGUGUGCUGGAGGUAUCACAAGAGCGAAUGCUGACGUGAGUAACGACAAAACGGGUGAAAAGCCCGUUCGCCGGAAGACCAAGGGUUCCAGUCCAACGUUAAUCGGGGCUGGGUGAGUCGACCCCUAAGGCGAGGCCGAAAGGCGUAGUCGAUGGGAAAUCGGUUAAUAUUCCGAUACUUGUUUAUGAUGCGAUGGAGGGACGGAGAAGGUUAUGCCAGCCUGGCGAUGGUUGUCCAGGUGGAAGGAUGUAGUUAGACUGAGUAGGCAAAUCCGCUCGGUUAUUAAUGAGAUCUGAUAGCAAGCCAGUUUACUGGCGAAGUGGCAAAUACCCUGCUUCCAGGAAAAGCUUCUAAGCGAUAGUCAUAAACGAAUCGUACCCGAAACCGACACAGGUGGUCAGGUAGAGAAUACCAAGGCGCUUGAGAGAACUCUGCUGAAGGAACUAGGCAAAAUGGUACCGUAACUUCGGGAGAAGGUACGCUGCCGAUGGUGAUGAAACUUGCUUUCUGAGCUGUUGGCAGUCGCAGAUACCAGGCUGCUGCAACUGUUUAUUAAAAACACAGCACUCUGCAAACACGAAAGUGGACGUAUAGGGUGUGAUGCCUGCCCGGUGCUGGAAGGUUAAUUGAUGGGGUUAGCGUAAGCGAAGCUCUUGAUCGAAGCCCCAGUAAACGGCGGCCGUAACUAUAACGGUCCUAAGGUAGCGAAAUUCCUUGUCGGGUAAGUUCCGACCUGCACGAAUGGCAUAAUGAUGGCAGCGCUGUCUCCAGCAGAGACUCAGUGAAAUCGAAAUCGCAGUGAAGAUGCUGUGUACCCGCGGCUAGACGGAAAGACCCCGUGAACCUUUACUACAGCUUUACAUUGAACUUUGACCUAACUUGUGUAGGAUAGGUGGGAGGCUUUGAAGCAGAUACGCCAGUAUUUGUGGAGCCAACCUUGAAAUACCACCCUGGUUAUGUUGGGGUUCUAACUUAGAUAUAACAGUAUCAAGGACAAUGUAUGGUGGGUAGUUUGACUGGGGCGGUCUCCUCCUAAAGAGUAACGGAGGAGUACGAAGGUGCGCUCAGAACGGUCGGAAAUCGUUCAAAGAGUAUAAAGGCAAAAGCGCGCUUAACUGCGAGACCCACAAGUCGAGCAGGUACGAAAGUAGGUCUUAGUGAUCCGGUGGUUCUGUAUGGAAGGGCCAUCGCUCAACGGAUAAAAGGUACUCUGGGGAUAACAGGCUGAUACCGCCCAAGAGUUCAUAUCGACGGCGGUGUUUGGCACCUCGAUGUCGGCUCAUCUCAUCCUGGGGCUGAAGCAGGUCCCAAGGGUAUGGCUGUUCGCCAUUUAAAGAGGUACGCGAGCUGGGUUUAGAACGUCGUGAGACAGUUCGGUCCCUAUCUACCGUGGGCGUUGGAAAUUUGAGAGGAUCUGCUCCUAGUACGAGAGGACCAGAGUGGACGAACCUCUGGUGUUUCGGUUGUCACGCCAGUGGCAUUGCCGAGUAGCUACGUUCGGAUGGGAUAACCGCUGAAAGCAUCUAAGCGGGAAGCCCACCUCAAGAUGAGAUUUCCCUAAGAGCCGUUGUAGACUACGACGUUGAUAGGUUGGGUGUGGAAGUGUAGUGAUACAUGUAGCUAACCAAUACUAAUUGCUCGUUUGGCUUGACCAU
RNAcentral lists this ribosomal RNA (2857 nucleotides) under Moraxella nonliquefaciens. RNAcentral's name for it is "23S ribosomal RNA". It matches the Rfam family "Bacterial large subunit ribosomal RNA". The record is from RNAcentral. Lineage: Bacteria; Pseudomonadati; Pseudomonadota; Gammaproteobacteria; Moraxellales; Moraxellaceae.